AUUGAACGCUGGCGGCAUGCCUUACACAUGCAAGUCGAACGGCAGCGCGGGGGCAACCCUGGCGGCGAGUGGCGAACGGGUGAGUAAUAUAUCGGAACGUACCCAAGAGUGGGGGAUAACGUAGCGAAAGUUACGCUAAUACCGCAUACGAUCUAAGGAUGAAAGUGGGGGACCGCAAGGCCUCACGCUCCUGGAGCGGCCGAUAUCUGAUUAGCUAGUUGGUGGGGUAAAGGCCUACCAAGGCAUCGAUCAGUAGCUGGCCUGAGAGGACGACCAGCCACACUGGGACUGAGACACGGCCCAGACUCCUACGGGAGGCAGCAGUGGGGAAUUUUGGACAAUGGGGGGCAACCCUGAUCCAGCAAUGCCGCGUGAGUGAAGAAGGCCUUCGGGUUUGGUAAAGUACGUCUUUUGUUCAGGGAAGGAAACGGUUAGGGGUCGUAAUAAUCCUCGGCUAAUGACGGUACCUGAAGAAUAAGCACCGGCUAACUACGUGCCAGCAGCCGC
Molecule: ribosomal RNA, 507 nt
Filed under: uncultured bacterium
Lineage: Bacteria
Description: bacterial SSU rRNA
Rfam family: Bacterial small subunit ribosomal RNA
Source: RNAcentral